Molecule: ribosomal RNA, 303 nt
Filed under: uncultured bacterium
Lineage: Bacteria
Description: partial 16S ribosomal RNA
Rfam family: Bacterial small subunit ribosomal RNA
Source: RNAcentral
AGCAGUCGCCGCGGGAAUACGAAGGGUGCAAGCGUUAAUCGGAAUUACUUGGCGUAAAGCGUGCGCAGGCGGUUAUAUAAGUCAGAUGUGAAAUCCCCGGGCUCAACCUGGGAACUGCAUUUGAGACUGUAUGGCUAGAGUGUGUCAGAGGGGGGUAGAAUUCCACGUGUAGCAGUGAAAUGCGUAGAUAUGUGGAGGAAUACCGAUGGCGAAGGCAGCCCCCUGGGAUAACACUGACGCUCAUGCACGAAAGCGUGGGGAGCAAACAGGAUUAGAUACCCCUGUAGUCCCUGUCUCUUAUAU